Molecule: ribosomal RNA, 253 nt
Filed under: uncultured bacterium
Lineage: Bacteria
Description: partial 16S ribosomal RNA
Rfam family: Bacterial small subunit ribosomal RNA
Source: RNAcentral
UACAGAGGUCUCAAGCGUUGUUCGGAUUCAUUGGGCGUAAAGGAUGCGUAGGCGGACAUUUAAGUCAGAUGUGAAAUACCCGAACUUAACUUGGGUGCUGCAUUUGAAACUGGGUGUCUAGAGUGCAGGAGAGGUAAGUGGAAUUCCUGGUGUAGCGGUGAAAUGCGCAGAUAUCAGGAAGAACACCCGUGGCGAAGGCGGCUCUCUGGUACGUGACUGACGCUGAGACGCGAAAGCGUGGGGAGCAAACAGG